Molecule: ribosomal RNA, 454 nt
Filed under: uncultured bacterium
Lineage: Bacteria
Description: bacterial SSU rRNA
Rfam family: Bacterial small subunit ribosomal RNA
Source: RNAcentral
AAUGAACGUUGGCGGCAUGGAUUAGGCAUGCAAGUCGAGCGAGAAGCCUUUUUUUGCUUGCAUUAAGGGUGGACAGCGGCGAAAGGGAGAGUAACGCGUAGAAAUGUACCCCAAGAUCCGGGAUAGCUGCGGGAAACUGCAGGUAAUACCGGAUAAUGUCUCCGGACCAAAGGUUUUUUCGUCUUGGGAGCAGUCUGCGUACUAUUAGCUUGUUGGUGGGGUAAUGGCCUACCAAGGCUCAGAUGGUUAGCGGGCGUGAGAGCGUGGCCCGUCUCACUGGGACUGAGACACUGCCCAGACGUCUACGGACGGCUGCAGUCGAGAAUCUUCCGCAAUGGACGAAAGUCUGACGGAGCGAUGCCGCGUGGUGGAUGAAGGCCCUCGGGUUGUAAACACCUGUCAGUAGGGAGGAAAUUUUGACCGAUCUACAGAGGAAGUCCGGGCUAAGUACGUG